GAUGAACGCUGGCGGCGUGCCUAAUCCAUGCAAGUCGAACGGAGUAUCAGCAAUGGUGCUUAGUGGCGAACGGGUGAGUAACGCGUUGGUGACCUGCCCCGAAGCGGGGGAUAACAGAUCGAAAGGAUUGCUAAUACCCCAUGUGGUUAUCGGGAUCAGAAUCUGAUAACUAAAGUCGUAAGACACUUUGGGAGGGACCUGCGUCCCAUCAGCUAGUUGGUAAGGUAACGGCCUACCAAGGCUAUGACGGGUAGGGGACCUGAGAGGGUGGACCCCCACAAUGGCACUGAAACACGGGCCAUACACCUACGGGUGGCUG
RNAcentral lists this ribosomal RNA (319 nucleotides) under uncultured Chloroflexota bacterium. RNAcentral's name for it is "bacterial SSU rRNA". It matches the Rfam family "Bacterial small subunit ribosomal RNA", at positions 28 to 351 of the family's 1533-position model. The record is from RNAcentral. Lineage: Bacteria; Bacillati; Chloroflexota.